RNAcentral lists this ribosomal RNA (278 nucleotides) under uncultured Rikenellaceae bacterium. RNAcentral's name for it is "partial 16S ribosomal RNA". It matches the Rfam family "Bacterial small subunit ribosomal RNA", at positions 511 to 788 of the family's 1533-position model. Lineage: Bacteria; Pseudomonadati; Bacteroidota; Bacteroidia; Bacteroidales; Rikenellaceae. The record is from RNAcentral.
GCAGCCGCGGUAAUACGUAGGUGGCAAGCGUUGUCCGGAUUUACUGGGUGUAAAGGGCGUGCAGCCGGGACUGCAAGUCAGAUGUGAAAUCUAUGGGCUCAACCCAUAAACUGCAUUUGAAACUGUAGUUCUUGAGUGUCGGAGGGGCAAUCGGAAUUCCUAGUGUAGCGGUGAAAUGCGUAGAUAUUAGGAGGAACACCAGUGGCGAAGGCGGAUUGCUGGACGAUAACUGACGGUGAGGCGCGAAAGCGUGGGGAGCAAACAGGAUUAGAUACCCC